AUUGCCUCAGGCCUUCUGAUGAUGUCCUGGGUAAACUCAGCCUGGCAGCCGACAUGGAAGAAGUGGGCAUGGAUUCCCCAGAGAAUUUCAACCCAGACUGACUGAUGGAAGGGCAGAGACACAGAAAGUGCUUCUCAGAAGGCAGCUCAAUAUGGCGGCUGGUGUUGCUCCUACAAAUGCACCUCCUUGUAUCCUGAAGCCUUGGAGGCCAUUGUCACAGUUCAGGACAGUGACCCAUCCCUUCCCAAAUCAGCCAGAAUUAAAUGGCCUGAAAUCUUCGAGGCCCCAGGAACAUA
Molecule: long non-coding RNA, 296 nt
Organism: Mus musculus (house mouse)
Lineage: Eukaryota; Metazoa; Chordata; Mammalia; Rodentia; Muridae
Product: predicted gene, 36458
Exons: 2
Source: RefSeq, a predicted model, not a curated record